RNAcentral lists this ribosomal RNA (301 nucleotides) under uncultured bacterium. Its description in RNAcentral is "partial 16S ribosomal RNA". It matches the Rfam family "Bacterial small subunit ribosomal RNA", at positions 509 to 807 of the family's 1533-position model. The record is from RNAcentral.
CAGUAGCCGCGGUAAAACGAAGGGGGCUAGCGUUGAUCGGAUUUACUGGGCGUAAAGCGCACGUAGGCGGACUUUUAAGUCAGGGGUGAAAUCCCGGGGCUCAACCCCGGAACUGCCUUUGAUACUGGGAGUCUUGAGUUCGAGAGAGGUGAGUGGAAUUGCGAGUGUAGAGGUGAAAUUCGUAGAUAUUCGCAGGAACACCAGUGGCGAAGGCGGCUCACUGGCUCGAUACUGACGCUGAGGUGCGAAAGCGUGGGGAGCAAACAGGAUUAGAUACCCCCGUAGUCCCUGUCUCUUAUAC